GGACACGCUGGCGCGUGCUUAACACAUGCAAGCAACGGGACUGAUUGAAAGCUUGCUUUGAAAAGUCUAGUGGCAAACGGGUGAGUAACGCGUAGGCAACCUGCCUCUAAGAUGGGGACAACAGCCCGAAAGGGCUGCUAAUACCGAAUGUUGUGAGUUUUCCGCAUGGAGAAUUCAUUAAAGAUGGCCUCUACUUGUAAGCUAUCACUUAGAGAUGGGCCUGCGUCUGAUUAGCUAGUUGGUGGGGUAACGGCUCACCAAGGCGACGAUCAGUAGCCGGUCUGAGAGGAUGAACGGCCACAUUGGGACUGAGACACGGCCCAGACUCCUACGGGAGGCAGCAGUGGGGAAUCUUCCGCAAUGGGCGAAAGCCUGACGGAGCAACGCCGCGUGAGUGAAAAGAAGGUCUUCGGAUCGUAAAGCUCUGUCGAAGGGGACGAACGUAGUGCUUAUCAACAACGAGCGCUAAUGACGGUACCUUUCAAGAAAGCCACGGCUAACUACGUGCCAGCCGCCGC
This 518-nucleotide ribosomal RNA is filed under the name uncultured bacterium. Its description in RNAcentral is "bacterial SSU rRNA". It matches the Rfam family "Bacterial small subunit ribosomal RNA", at positions 33 to 518 of the family's 1533-position model. The record is from RNAcentral.